This is a long non-coding RNA of Antechinus flavipes (yellow-footed antechinus), 3642 nucleotides long. RefSeq lists it as uncharacterized. The transcript has 2 exons. Lineage: Eukaryota; Metazoa; Chordata; Mammalia; Dasyuromorphia; Dasyuridae. The record is from RefSeq and is a predicted model, not a curated record.
UCUACAUUCUUGUCUUCUUCUGAGUUUAUGUUUUGAUUUUCUCUGCCACCAUAGUAGGCUUUCAUGGCCAAUUUCUGUUUUUUGUUAUUUGCUUAAUUUUCUAGUCUAUUUCUUGACUUUGAUCUUUAUGUUAAAGUUGGGUUCUACUCACCUGAAUAGUGUGGAAAUUGGUAAUAAAAGCCAAAUUUUAGCUUUUUCAUGCUGUUGUUAUCAGAACAAGUUCUGGGGAUCUGUAAGUUUUUUGUGCUUUCAAGGUGGUGUGAUCCAGGGAGAGUUAUGGUCAAUGUUCUCUCCUGAUUUAUGUGCUGAUCCUGCUUGCUCCCCUGCAAUCACAAGCUUUAGCAUUCUUCUUGGCCCUGGAACUGUGACCAGGUCACCUGUUCUUCUGCAUUCCCAAAUGCUAGUACUGUAAUGCCGGAGGAACUGAGGUAGGAGAGAGAUUAGAGAGUUUUUAAUAUUUUAUUAAUGGGAGAGUAAGAUUGACUGGACAGGACUCUCGUCUCAGAUUAUCCAGUCAGACAGAGAUAAGUAUACUGGAACCAAGGAAUCCAUAUUGGUCCCAGGGCUGGAGGACCCAAAGAAUCCAGCGUCCAGCAUACAGCUGCCAGAUGCCAUUCUCCAGCCCUGAAUGGAGGAACCCCAACUUCUUAAAUACCUUUUUGGAGACAAAGAAGAGAAAGGGAGGGAAAGUUUUUUUUUUAUCAGGGAGGGGAAGCCAUAAAACCUAAAAAUUCCAGAGACAAAGAAGUAAAGAUAUCAUGGGUUAAUCUUGGAAUAUUCUAAAGGAAUAUUGUAAAUCCAUAAAAGAGUCAGGAGAUCUACUCUUUUAUCUUGCUAAUUUAUAACCCGAGAGCGAAUAAUCCUUAGUUUUACUGGGUCAGAGACAGAACAGUUAAGGAAACUGAGACAGGGAAACUGAGUCAGGACAGUUAAAGAGAACUGUGGCAUAACAUUCCACACUCUCUCUCCUAAAUAUUCAAACCUUUGAAUCUUAGCACCUUCCUCUAGGUACCCAGGAGGUCUUUGACCCACCUUAUGUAAAGCAAAUGAGCCAAAAAUAAAACUAGAAAAAAUGUAAAGACUCAUAUGGCAAGAGCAAGUCUCUCCCUGAUAAUCCCAGAGUUAACAGCUGUACAAAGGCUCCCUUGUUGCAAGCAUGUCAGGCCCUCUACAGUUCUGGAGCACCAUCUCAGCCAGAGAAUCCAGUUUGAGACGGACAGUUAGGUCUGGUCAUUUGUGCACUUAACUCAGUCUCUGCUUACAAAGCAGCAGGGUCCAAGGCCCAUUCAGAGAGGCAGCCCUCUCCAUGGGGGAUGAGGCUUGUAGUAGCUCCACCUGUCCCCACCCAGAGAAACAGGACUGCUAUUAGAAUACAGAUUUCUGAGCAGAUUAUACACAGUUAGACCAUCAAGGCAGGCAAACUCCAAACUUUUUAGGUGCCUCAAGCCAAACUUCAAGGUCCUUUGAAAUACUUAAUGAACUGGGGUUACAGGAAUGGAAAAACAGAUCAGACUGCCAGUGUCAGGACAGGUGUCUGAUUUCUAAAACUUUUCUAAAAAAAAUAAUCUCAAAACUGAGUCUGCCAGGGAAAUUUUAACAAAAUAAGGGAUUCUAAAACUAAAACAUCCAAAUUCAAUCUGCACUAGUGAGAUAGAGGGUGGGGCAGAAAUGCCUAAGGCAAAGUGAAUAGGAAGCUAGGGGUUCCCAUUCUUUCAGGUAUUUUGAAAAAAAAAUAUAUCAGUUUCCCCAAUGUUCUAUCUCUACCUCCCUUUUUUUUUUUCACGGAAAGGAAUUAUCAAAUGACCAUUCCCCAUAUAAAUCCCAAGAGCAAAUCAAAAUCCCUAUACAUAACAGACUAAUACAGUAGCAUUUCCUUCAAAGCCCUCAAACAUAACAGCAAUUACAGUUUUAACAAAUCCCAUCCCAAGUCUUAAACACACAGUAAUAGAUGAUCCAGGCAAGGUUUAACAGUCAUCAACCAUUCCCAAAGUCCCUCAUAUCAGUCCAAAGUACAGUCGAUGCAGGGUCAAGUCCAUGGUCUCAUUUUUAAACUGCUGCUUCAGGCUAUGAAGUGACAGGAGGCUCUCAUUCCUUGCAGAGUGGGUGUGUCAUGCUGGCAAUCAAAGCUGAUCAAAGCUGAUCCAGGUUCCAGAAGCAAGCCAAUAUCUGUAAUUUGACCAAAAUCUAGAACAAAAACACAAAUCUAACACAUAAAGAUUAGAUCAGUCUCAGAUAGACUCAGUUCACCAGACUGUUGCAAAAUACGAGGAGGCCAAAAUGGAUUGGCCAGCAGUUUCCUAUGUGAAGAGAUGAGUUUGCUUUACAGGCCAAGCAAACGGCUGCAGUCUUACAGACCCCUGUUAAUUGUCCACUUAUCAUGUAGAAACCUUAAAGGAACAAAACACAAAUAUCCAGUAACAGACAGAUGACUAGGCGAAAUACUCAGUUGCCCAAGCAUUUAGGAUACAAUGACUACAUAUAGCCAGACUGAAAAUAGCAAGGCUUGACAUAAUUGAAUUGCAGUAACAGUUCUAUUGACCAUUGCUCUGAUCAGAGAGAUCAGUUACAGAAGGAAAAAAUUCAAGAACAUAACUAUAACAUAAGCAGUUGAGUUUUAACAGCUUAUCAAUCAAUUGUCCCAGUAACUGUCACAGGGUGGAGCUUUAAAACUCCCAAAUAGCAUUAGCUAAUUAACUCUAAGCCCAAAAACUCCCAUAACAGAUGUCAUUAAUCAAAUUUCGGAUAAAUUAUUUAUCAUAUCCUUAUAAGUCAUAACAGAAAGCAAUUUUGUCUCAGUAAGUUCACAACUUAGAACAAUUAUCAUAUCUAGGUAGAUGUUACAUGAGUGAACAUUAUAUACAUACAAAUCAUUUUGCUUUUAAAAUACCCAAUACAUAGAAAAACAUCCCAAAUUGCAUAUUGUCCAUAACAAAAACAUUUUCAAAAGGACAAAGGAAAAAAACUUAUGUCCAGAGGCCCUUUAAAUAACCUCAGAAUGACCCAAUACAAUCAAUUUAAACUUAUACAAAAGACCCAAUUCCACAUAAAAGAAUUCAAGAAGGUUUUUUUUAACAUAGCAAUUAAACUCUUAGAAAUAUUCGUACCAAAGUAUGGAUCACAUUUACGACCAUUUUCUUUUAACCAAGAAAACUUUUAUGUAUCAAAAAACAAAUAUUCAAUCAAUUUAACCUAAAAAUAAGCAUGUCCUUAAAAAUCACUUUGCUGCACUGCCGCAAUCAGAUAAAAAAAAAAGCGGCAGGAACAUACUUAGAGAGGAGAGGGGAGGAGAGGAUUCCACAUGGCCCCCCUUCCUCCAAUCCUGACCUCUAGGAAAAAAACUUCCCUCAGGUUCCCCACUCAAUUUCCUACAUGGGGAUCCUUUUUUCAAGAUUUAACCCAUCAGUUUCCCAAUAUCAGGUUUCUUCCCAAAUCCACCCAUUUCCAACUUUCUCUUUCCCCCUGACUACAUACUUAAACAAUCUCCUUUCCUUUAAAUGUAAGCAUACUGCUGUAUAUUAACUUUCCAAACUUUCAAAUCCCUUUCAAUCUAUUUUUUCUUUCUUUUUUUUUUUUUUUUUUCCUUUCUCUCCCUUUUUCUCACAGGCUGCUGCAGUCAGCCAGAGACAGAGAGAGAGAGAAAGA